UAUACAAAAUUUCUUUAUUAAACAAAGUUUCCUUAUUUUCAAAAAAGGAAACUACAUUUUUUGAAUUUUUCUUUUCACAGCCACCCAUUACCACGAAAUUUGUCAAUAAAAAAUAUCACAAAAUAUUCUUUAAUCAGUUGGCAAAACGUCUCAAAGUCUAAAAAAGGAAAAAUAUAUUUUAUUUAAAGAAAAAUCUUCUUAUAAAUAAAAUAACAUUUUCUCAAUGAAUAUCAACAUAUACGGACGAAAUAUCAACAUAUAUGGAUGAAAUUUCAAGUCAAAAAAUUAUCAUAAAUGAUUUCUAGAAUAUUAAGACUUAAGAAACAAAUCUGGAAAAAUCAAGUUGUCGCGACAGAUCAUAAACUUAUCGGGGCAACUGCUUCAAACUUGUCAUAAAACACUUUUGAGUUAUAAAAUAUAUAGUCUAUUUAAGAUAGCCAAUUUAAGGUUUUACAAUUUCCUUCUUUGGCAUCUUUUUAGGCAAAAAUCUCUUAUUUAUCUCACUCAAAAGUGUGUGCAAAACACAUAUUAGUUGAAGCAUAGAGUUUACUCAAAACUCCCCCUGCACAAGAGAUAACAAAAAAAUAGGGCACAGAAUAAAAAAAAAUGUUACAAACUCGAUCAAUUAGCACAAGAACAAGGAACUUUUUAUACUCCCUAAAUAAUUCUUCUCUUCUUUUUUGUCUAUCGAAAGAGCCAAAGGAACACCAUUAGGGGCCAAACACACUUCCAUCAUGGUUGCCUGCACACAUGUUAGAUGAAAAACGAAACAAAGAAAUAAGAAGAAGAGGAGGAGAAAAUGAAGUGGAAGGAAAAAACAAUGGGUACCAACCAAAACACCACAAAAAUUGGGAAAUGAAAGCUUUUUCUUGUCUAAGAAUAUGAUCUUCAAUGGACAAAACAAAUUGUCAAUAUUUUCAAUAUUCCCACAAACGAUCAACCAUUUUGUUGUUUUUUUUAUAAUAGCACAAAGGUAUAUAUAAAUAUAAAAAUGCCAAAAUAUCAUUGUGCCCAAAAAAUCUUUCAUGACUUGCCCAUUGAGAAAAAACCAAACAUUAGUACAUUUUAACAAAAUUUUACUGUAAUGUUUAGAUGCUUUUAUUUGUCUCAAGAAAAAUAGUUAGUCUUAUCCCAUGAAAUAUUUAAAGUGAAUCAAAUGGUGUAUAUGCAUUUUAAUAUAUUUGUUUUACCACUAAAAUCAGUCUCAAGCAUUUGUGCGUGCAUGUGAAAGCAUGAGACAUUGCCCUUUGGUGGCAAAUUUUAGCAUUUUUCCCAAGUUGCAUGAAGUACACAUGUUAGACGCUUUCACACUACACUGAUGAUAGCCCUUUUCACAUGGUAGAGUAUCUUCUACAUAAUUUUAGUUACAUAGUUCCAACUUACUCAUGGAUGACUUUCACACAUCAAUGUUGGUAGCUCUAUUAUUAAGAUGGAGCCUGAGACAAGAUAAAAAAUAUUAUAUACUCACACACCACAUACACAUAUUGAUUCAUAAAAAUAUUAAAUGGAUAGACCUAUCUAUUUUCAAUACCACUAAGCACAUUAACUAGAAAACUAACCAAGUAGUAAAAUAAUGUUAAAAACAAAUUUUUACAAUUUUCUCAAUUUGGACAAGAACAAGACAACUUUUGAGCAACACAGUGUCAAGGAUAUGACAAAAAACAACAACAACAAUAAUAAUAAUAAUAAUAAUUAAUUAGUACAAACCACCAAUGAUUUCUUGAGGGAAUCAAACUUGAUCGCAUCUAGGGAUUUUGUGAAAAUAUUUGCAAUUUUUUUGGCAAUCUCAACAUAUUUUAAGACCAAAGUUUUAUUUUCAACAAGUUCCCUUGUGUGUCGCGACACAUCAUCAACACAAAAACAUUUUUCAUGAGAAAUUUUCAAAUAUUUUCCCAAUCGACAUGGUUCACAUUUACCAAAAGAAUAUUUACUUAAAUCGGUAAAUCAUGAACAUGACUCACACUUCCAAUUUUUCUCAAAUUUUCAAAAUCCACAUGAUCGUGUUUUUCAUGACACAAAUUAGUAUCACUCCUUGUGUUUGUGUGACAGCUGUGUGAUUGAGAUAAUUUGUAAGAAUUAUCAACAAAUUUAUAACCCUUCAAAACACAAUUUCCAUCUCGGUCAAGCACAAAACAUUUAUCACGAGAAAAAUUUACAAACAAGUUUUGGUUACAAAUUUUACAUAUACUAAUUAGAUUAGCUUUAAGUCCAUCAACCAAAAGAACAUUUUGCAACUUUGGUAGUUCUUCAGAAUUUAGAGUGUCACUACCAAGUACCGUACAAGAUUUACCAUCUCCAAAUGUGACUUCCCCAUUUUUCAAAGUCUUGAAGUAAGUGAGUAUGCUUUUGUUACCCGUCAUAUGCCUAGAACAACCACUAUUGAAAUACUAAGAGUUAGAAGCACAUGCUCUAAGACAAGUAAAGGCAGCAAGACAUUUGAAUUUAUUUUUCUUCACCCAAACUUUCUUAGGUGGAGUCCUCUUCUUCAAGGGCAUUUGUCUCAAAUUAUCAUGAUGAUUAAAGUAGUUUUUUUGAAGAAAGUUCAUCAAGAUUAAGAAGAUGAGGUGACAUGAGUCUGAGUAGAACUUGCAGAAGGAUAAGUUGUCGAAACAACAGGAAGAUUUCCAGAAAUAAAAAUUGUUUUACCUUUAGGUUUAGAUCCAUUUGGUCCUAACCUAGAAAAAUCACAAGUUUUUUGACAUGCAAGCAGAACAUUAUCCAAAACCAUAGAUCUAUGAUUAAGCAUUUUGACACCUUUCACAAUUUGAUCAACUUCAUUAGACAAACGUUUGAUUUCAGAAUCUUUAGCAACAAUGUCAAUUUGAUAUUUUUUAACAAGAGAGUCAAGUUCUUCAUUUCUCUUUC
Humulus lupulus (European hop) is the source of this 2865-nucleotide long non-coding RNA. RefSeq lists it as uncharacterized. The record is from RefSeq and is a predicted model, not a curated record. NCBI's taxonomy places the organism in Eukaryota, Viridiplantae, Streptophyta, Magnoliopsida, Rosales, Cannabaceae. The transcript has 2 exons.